AAAAGGAAUGAAAUCUUGCCAUUUACAACUACGUGGAUGGAACUGAAAGUAAUUGCUUGCCUUGAGAAGGAGCUCUGUGCAGGGUCUGGGCCACUCUCAUGGCUGCUGUCUCCCUUUGAGGGAGCUGGAGGGAGAGGUGCUCUGGUCCAUCUGCCUCAACUACUUGAGAGACCCCGUAGCCAUCAGCUGCGAUCACGUCUUCUGCUACCGCUGCAUCAUUCAGGUAAAAUUUUAAAUCAUCUGAAGAUUCUGAAGGGGGACUGAGACAGGAUCCAGAAUUUUCAGUCAACAGGAGAAGAUGAGGUUCAGGCCCUGCUGGGCCACCAGUUCCUGAGAGAAAGGGAGCAGUACCCACUGGACCUGCUGGAAAGGAUAGAGCAAGAUCUCGCCCACGGGAGGAACAGCCAUGUCACCAAGAGCUCAGAGGAAGCCGUCCGGCUUGGAACCUUCAUUUCUGAGUAGGAAAAAAUGGCUCAGCAGCCUGCAGUUGAGCUUUUGCAGGAGAGGAGCAAGCUAAAUUAUACUUGGAUCCUCUUGCUGUAAGCUGCGAUUUGGCCCUAGUUAGCAUGAGGUUUGGACCAGAAGUCAAGAGAGAAGAAAGUUUUAUUAUCAUUUUUUGAGGACUUUCAUAACCCGUAAUCAGCUAAUCAAUAGGUUUUAAGUCCUAAAUUGAGUGGGCAGGGGAGAGUAAUAUACACAGACCACACAGUAGAUAGUAACCUGUAGUUUACAAUGACAACAAAACAUCAAGUGUGAACUCUUGUGGUCAGAAUGGAGCCCACGGAGACAGAGGUUUAGCAGGGAGGCUUUUGUGAAAGAAGACGUGUUUAAUGUUGGCCUUGAAAAAAAUGCAAACAUUUGGGUUCGCAGAAAGGAGGAGCUGAAGCUCAGUGAGGGAGCGCUGGUGAGGGUUAGUACACGGUCUGUGAUCACACAGUGGUGAAGAUACUGAGGGAGUACUUUUUAGGGUUACUACUCGGGCUGUGAUCACAGGCUGUGCAGGGACUGAGGGAGCACUGGUGGGGGUUAGUACGCAGGCUGUGAUCACAUGCUGUGCAGGGACUCAGGGAGCACUGGUGAGGGUUAGUUUGCAGGCUGUGAUCACAGGCUGUGCAGGGACUGAGGGAGCACUGGUGGGGGUUAGUUCGCGGGCUGUGAUCACACGCUGUGCACGAACUGAGGGAGCACUGCUGAGGGUUAGUACGCCGGAUGUGAUCACAGGCUGUGCAGGGACUGCGGGAGCACUGGUGAGGGUUAGUUUGCAGGCUGUGAUCACAGGCUGUGCAGGGACUGAGGGAGCAUUGGUGAGGGUUAGUACGCGGGCUGUGAUCACAUAGUGGUGAAUGUCCUGAGGGAGUACUUUUGAGGGUUGGUACUCAGGUUGUGAUCACACGCUGUGCAGGGACUCAGGGAGCACUAGUGAGGGUUAGUUUGCAGGCUGUGAUCACAGGCUAGGCAGGGACUGAGGGAGCACUGGUGGGGGUUAGUUCAUUGGCUGUGAUCACACGCUGUGCAUGACCUGAGGGAGCACUGCUGAGGGUUAGUACGCCGGAUGUGAUCACAUGCUGGUACAGGUAAUAGGGAGUACUGGGGAGGGUUAGUAUGCAGGCUGUUAUCACAUGCUGGUGCGGGUACUGAGAGAGCACUGUUGAGGCUCAGUACACAGUCUGCUAUCACAUGGUGGUGAAGAUGCAGAGGGAGUACUUUUUAGGGUUAGUACUCAGACUGUGAUCACAGGCUG
Leopardus geoffroyi (Geoffroy's cat) is the source of this 1741-nucleotide long non-coding RNA. RefSeq lists it as uncharacterized. The record is from RefSeq and is a predicted model, not a curated record. The transcript has 4 exons. Lineage: Eukaryota; Metazoa; Chordata; Mammalia; Carnivora; Felidae.